Catharus ustulatus (Swainson's thrush) is the source of this 2918-nucleotide long non-coding RNA. RefSeq lists it as uncharacterized. The record is from RefSeq and is a predicted model, not a curated record. NCBI's taxonomy places the organism in Eukaryota, Metazoa, Chordata, Aves, Passeriformes, Turdidae. The transcript has 4 exons.
AGUUCCACCUGUACCGGGGUCAGAUGGAAGCCUUGAGGUCAAGCAUCCAGAGUCAUCUCUUCCCACUGAGCAGGCAUUGCACCUCAUUCCAGCCAUCCUGGACUCUCCAGUGGUCUCAGUCUGACUGCUGAAGAUGGCCAUGUGUUUUAGAGCGACUGUUUCUUUCUUCACCUGAACAUUGUCAGAGGCACCAGGAAGGAUCAGUGCUGCAGGAGACCACAGUGUCCUCUCUGCCUCCACAGAUGACCAUCUUACUGACACUUUCUUGCACCAGUUUGAGGCCCCUACUUCGGAUCAACUCAUUAUCCCGAAUAAACGAUGUGUCAUUCCCAUUAUUUAUGUUUCACUGCAGCCAAAGUAUCUGGACCUCGUUUUGCUUCUCUGGUGGGGUAGAUUAACUGAAUCAACUACCCAGGUGAAAGAAUAAAGCUUGAAAGCAGAACUGAGACCCAUAUAUUCACCUGAAAAGGCCAACAGCUUUACUCAGUAAAAAUAAAUGAAAAGUCAGGACUUUUGACAGCUUUCCUAAAUUUCAAGGAGAGGUGUCCUGGUUUGGAUGAGUCCCUCAGAGGCCAGUGUGUGCUCAGUGCCAUUGCCACAGAGAGGUGCAGCAGCAUGGUGACAGUGAGGAGGAGAAGACCCAAGGAUGGAGAACCUCAGGUGUGAUCACAAAACAAUUUCCAAAGGCAGAGUUACAGGUGACCAAAAAAUCACAGUGUGACAAGACUAUGCACCAGACCCCACAACCUGAAUUACUGCUCCACAGAAAUCCUACACCUCCUUGGGAAGAGGUGAUUCUGCCUCAGGGGUUUUAUGCUUUCCAGGUACAGGCUGGCUGAAGAGCUCCACUGCAAGCAGCUCUAGCCCAGAGAGUGGCAAAGUCCUGUGGUGUUAUCAUGGACCAGCUACUGGAGGGUAGGAUGCCUGCACCAACACAUGUAGGCACAAACACAACAGGUGGGUGUGGUGUACGCAUGAGUGCACGUGUGCCCAUGUGUGUUUUUCACCUUCUUACUCAGCACACUUUGACCUUCUGCACCAAAGUGAAACUCCCCUCUGCAGGAUUUAUGUCAAAACCACCACAUCGUCAUCACCUGCCAGGGCUCUGGCUCAGACAAAAGGGCCAUGUCCCCUUUCCUCUUUUUACUUCUGAGUUCCCUCUCUAUCCCAAGAUAAACAGAAGGAGCCAUACACAGCACAGUGGUAACCCAGAUGACACUGUCAGAUCUGCAUUCAUUCCAUGGGUGUUACUAAAGGAGAAGAUGUUGUUAUUAAACACUGGGAAAGAGUGACCAAAAAUGGCAAAAAACAAGGGAAACCACAGCGGAAACAGAAAAACCACUAAUGUAACAAAAACAGUUUAUGAAAAACCUGUAUCAGGUUAAGGGCAAAUCCAAGCCAAAACCUUAGACAUAUCUCAGAAACUUGUAGGGGUCAGUUUAUCAUCUCUGAGCAUGGUUUUCAAUGAAAAACCUUACUGUCAUGGUGUGUCUUGGUGUAGGGAAUCACAACCUCACAAGCUCCAAAGCUGGAGCAUAGACCUGGGUCUCUAGGGUAGAAACCAGAUUAAAAAAUUUUACAAAAGGAAAAUGAAGGACUCUCAUACAUGUCAAAGCAUGUUGGGUUUACAUGUCAUAAUCAUGCUAUACUGGUAUAAAUGCAAUCAGGAAAUCAUUGGGUUAUCAACAGAAAAUAACCCUUAAUGAUAGGGGCAGUGAGGGGAAGGUCACAUGAGAUCAUCAGGCCAUCUUCAUUAGAGAAAUCGAAAAUUAUUGCUGAUGACAUGUAAGGGAAAGUUGUGUGGAGGAAGCUCUUUCACGGUAUAGAGAUUGGACCAAGAUGGUGUCCGUGGGUUUGUGUGGUCAAAGGCAAAACUUCAUGAGCAAUAUUAAUUGGGGCUUUAUUUAACUGAAGUUCAAGACCCACAGGUGCUGGCUCUGUGGCUUGCCACUGAGAGCAUGGCCUUGUGUUUUCAAGUUUCCUCUAAUGGUCUCCAUCUCCUCUGAGAAGAGGUUUUAUCAAGGGGACAGAACUGUACCUCUUUCCUUCACAUGGAGCAUCUCUGCAUUUGAAGAAGCUUGUCCUGCUGGUGCUCUUCCUCAGUUCUGUACAGCCACAGAUUACAAAGCAAACAUCCCACAGUCUAACCUGGUAUGUGAGUGGCAAAAUUUCACUAUAUGCUGUUAAUUCUUCCAUCCCUCUGCUUCUCUUUGGCUUUCCUCCCGCAGAGCCUCUGGGGAGGAUCCCUCCUUCCAGCAACAGGGAAAGCAGGGACAGGAGAUGCUCAGGGAGGAGGCUGAUCUGACCUCAAUUUCUGCAGCAGCACAGCCAAGAGAGUUUUAUGGAAGGGUUAGAAGUACCCUUGGUUUGCACAGCAGUGAUGAAUAUCACUAAAUGCAGUGGGGAACAUGAUGGGAAUUAGGAGAAAUUAAAAGACGUAGCAGUCCAAAUUGAAAGAGGAAACCAGCCAGUGAAGGAAUGACUGUAUGUCUGCUUGGAGGGUUGCCUAUCUCACACACAUUCUGCACUGCCCUGUAGUCUUUUCAGUAAAUUCACAUUGACUCAGGAGCAGCAGGGUUGGGAGUUUUUCAGACUUUCCCUAAACGUUUAUGGGACAAUGUGGUAAACAUUCCCCUGCCUUGUCAGAUCAUAAUGACAGGUGUGCAACUUCACUAGGCUGAGGGGUCAUUUUCAAAACAAUAAUGUGUUGAACUUCUCACAUCUUCUAGAUGUGGAUAAGAGGGAGAAGCUGUGGUGAUUUAAACUCCCAGAACUACUUCACUAUACAGUUGUGGCUCCCUGUGCUCCCGUUUCUUCUCGCAACAGUGUCAGCAACCUUCUGAUAGCAUGUGUGGGUGUAGAAGUUUUCCUGAGAUCCCAGAACUGAAAGGCUCUUACCUGUAUCUUUGUUUUCCUUC